This 89-nucleotide transfer RNA is filed under the name Acinetobacter virus 133. RNAcentral's name for it is "Acinetobacter phage 133 tRNA". It matches the Rfam family "tRNA". From Rfam's summary of the family: Transfer RNA (tRNA) molecules are approximately 80 nucleotides in length. Their secondary structure includes four short double-helical elements and three loops (D, anti-codon, and T loops). Lineage: Duplodnaviria; Heunggongvirae; Uroviricota; Caudoviricetes; Pantevenvirales; Straboviridae. The record is from Rfam by way of RNAcentral.
GGUAAGGUGGCAGAGUCUGGCUUAUUGCGGUGGUCUUGAAAACCACUGACGCUUUCGGGCGUCCCUGGGUUCGAAUCCCAGUCUUACCU